AUGGAGGACUUCUACUACUUCCCCAGCUCCUUGGAGACCUCUGAAAUUGUCCACAGAGGGUUCCUCCCCGUCGUGCACUCCUCCCCCCGCAACCGGAGCUCGCCGUCGCCGAGGCCCCGGCGCGGGUCCCGCGACGACGCCGGCGAGCUCGGCCACCACUACCUCGACGCCUGCUUCCGGUGCGGGCGGACAAUCGCUGGAAACAAGGACAUCUUCAUGUACAGAGGCGACACCCCGUUCUGCAGCGAGGAGUGCCGGCAGCAGCAGAUCGACACCGACGAGGCGGCGGAGAAGAGACCCAAGAAGUCCGCGGCCGCGACGACGACGGAGCAGCAGUCGCAGCGGCAGAGCUCGCACAGAGUGCCCAUCUGGGCUCGGUAG
This 381-nucleotide ribosomal RNA is filed under the name Triticum aestivum (bread wheat). RNAcentral describes it as "partial small subunit ribosomal RNA". Lineage: Eukaryota; Viridiplantae; Streptophyta; Magnoliopsida; Poales; Poaceae. The record is from RNAcentral.